GUAACCGCUUGAGUUUCUGCUGAAGUGCUGGCGUGGGCAUUCUCUCAACUUCUCCCGGCAACUGCUGUACCUAGCCUGUCCGUUUUACUGCUGUUGCCCUUGCUGCUGUCGGCGUAGGCGAUGUGCCUCGCCCAUCGGGUAGCCUGGAUCAACAUAUGUAGGGCCGACGGCCCUUGACGCGCUGCUGUUUUUGUUCUGCCGACAAUUAUUGUGGACGAGUGCGUGCGUGUGGAGAGUGUGUUAAGUGACGCGCAGUGCGCGCUUGGAACUCUCGUGUGGAGAGAGUGUUUGGUGACGCGCGUGGUUGCGCGCUGAUACUCAGUCGAGUGUGUGUGAAUGCGAUG
Long non-coding RNA from Engraulis encrasicolus (European anchovy), 344 nucleotides. RefSeq lists it as uncharacterized. NCBI's taxonomy places the organism in Eukaryota, Metazoa, Chordata, Actinopteri, Clupeiformes, Engraulidae. The record is from RefSeq and is a predicted model, not a curated record. The transcript is spliced from 3 exons.